CUCCCUUCUCCCCUCCUACCUCUUUCCUUUUCCUUUUUCUCCCUUCUGCUCAAACUAGCUUAGUUCUAUUUCUGUGACUUGUGGCCAAAGCCCCUUCACUGUUGCUCUCACCUCCUGGGUAGGCAGCUCCCUGGGAGUGUGGGCUGGGAGUUAGUCUUCCCCCCUGCCUGGCGCACAGGCCGUGGGCCCGGAGGGACAGCUCGGGGAGUGUGUGUUGACCACAUCUGGCCUUCCUCUGGCGUGACUCAGCCUGGAGUCAGCACGUUAUCUGUUCAGGGAAAUGUGCCUUUGAUUCUGUUCCUCGGUGCUUAUAAUUUCAUUAUUAUUUCCGCAAUGACAUCCCAUUGGUCCUCAGUUCCUCAGUUGGUCCUCAAUUCAUUCUGACUCAUUUCACUUGAGUCAUGGCUUAAUUAAGUUGUUCUGUAGCACACAACGGCCAGGGGACUUUCCUUCUUUCCAUGAGUGACUAUUUUUCUCUAGGUUGGGAUCGUUCUCUUUUCCAUUCAUUACUUCUUUUCUCUUGUAUAGCAUAUUUGCCUAGUUGUGCUUUUAUUGUUUUCAUAUUGUUUAUGCCUGCACCAUUCUGACAGCCCGAAGGAACGUCUCUGGGUGGAGAAUGAGGAAGUCUCUCUUCCCUGAGAUUUCAUCAGAAGUCCUGCUUUAGGGUACCCUUCUCCAGGGUUGAGAGUAUGGGUACUGCUCAGUAGGAGAUUCCCCUGGGAUCUUGACUGCUCCUGUAAUUCAGAGUAUUGUCUUAGAGACUUUGCUUCCAUCAGAUGGAUUCUGCCGAUGCUUCAGGUUCCCUGGUUCACCCGCUUCUCUGAGCAUCAGUCUCCGUUGUUUUGUUGUGAGACAGAAGAAGGAGAAGGAGGAGGAAGAGAAGGAUGAGGAGGAAAGGAGGAGGAAGAGGAGCAGAAGGAGGAAGGGGAGGGGCAGAACAACCAUCACCAUGGCCAUCCCCCGCCAGAGCACCCACCCCACUUGCUUUCUUCUCCUCUUGGUGUCUGUGAGAAAGCCCAGGAUUUUGUCACCUCCCAGCCCAGUCUCUGGGACGAGGAGCCUCGGUGGCAUGGAACUUCCACAGGGACAGUUCAGUCGGCUGCCUCACUGGGGACUUCCAUCCUGGCAGUGCCUGGGCUCCUCAGGAAGACAGUGGUCAGUUGAGUCCUUGCCAAGCCAGGCUGGCUUCGAGGAGGAGUGAUUGAGGCGAUUGUUUUCAGUGGCUUUGCGACAAGAUCCCACAUUCAGCCUGAUAAUGCAGACUCUUUCAAGGUAGGGAGUGUGCAUUUAAGUCCAUGAGGAGGAGCUGGCUUCGAGGACACACAACACCUCAAGGCCAGAUGGACAGGGGUUUGUCCAUCCUCGUGGGCUCCGUUCAUCCUGGGGCUCCAGCCUGUUCUUGCUUUCCCACCUGGCAGCCAUCUUCCUGGCCCCACGGACAGCCCUGUGGACUUUAAGCUCCAGUGCCAGAUGGAAAGACAACAGCCUUGGGAGACUGCUUAACAAGCUCCCCAAAGGGUCAGAGCCUGGAAACAAUGUUCCUUCAAUCCUUUGCCAGCAGGGAUCUUCUUUAGUUUCUGCCAAUAAGGGCCACUGGUGUAAAAUUUGGAAACCAGACAAAGAGAAGCUGACUUUUGGCAAUGGCGUGAGACAUGGGCAUCAAUAAAGGCUGGGUGAGCUCUGCCAGUGGCUUUCAGGCGUGAGUCAUCUGUUCACACAGUUGAGAUCUGCAGUGGCUGUCCCUGCAGUCUCCACUUCCUGGAUUCCUGAAUGCUUCCGAAGCUUCCCUGACCUUGACUCUCUCCCCAACAGCUUCGUAAGCCUGUAAUCUCCUGCAUUAAUCUCCUCUCCAUUGAAGGACCUGGAGGGUUUCCAUUUUCCCAGGCAAACCCUGUCUGAGACGUAUCCCCACUAGCACUGCAUAAGAGCUCCCAGGGCCCCACCUCCUCACCACACAGUGCUUGUCAACCCUUCGGUCAGUUGCGGAAGUGAACAAUAGUAUCUCGUUGUAGUUUUAGUUUCAGAAUUGUGCGUGUAGAAUUGAUGUUUUGUUUGUAUGUUUAACAGCCAUUUGUAUUUUCUUUUUUAUAAACCAGGACUGGAAGUUUGCUUUAGUGCCCGUCUUCUAACUCUAACUUUAUACACCCUACUCAAUCCUCUACUGACUCCACACAUUGAACAAUGGCAGCGCAAGUCUAUCUCAACUUCCUCAGACUGGCUUCCUUGCUCCUCAGCUUGCAGAUGGCCUAUUGUGGGACUUCAUCUUGUGAUCGUGUGAGUCAAUAUUGCUUAAUAAACUCCCUUUCAUAUAUACAUCUAUCCUGUUAGUCCUGUCCUUCUAGAGAACGCUGACCAAUACACUGCGUUUCAUUGGUGCUUGUAUCUGUCUCCGUCCUGCUUUCAGUUGGGUUUACCUUUCGGAUAUGAUUUUCUGGUUUCCUCAUAUUUUUUCCUGAGCUUUGUCACUUUUU
This 2471-nucleotide long non-coding RNA is filed under the name Homo sapiens (human). RNAcentral's name for it is "HSALNT0278974". Lineage: Eukaryota; Metazoa; Chordata; Mammalia; Primates; Hominidae. The record is from RNAcentral.